AACGAACGCUGGCGGCAUGCCUAACACAUGCAAGUCGAACGAAGCCUUCGGGCUUAGUGGCGCACGGGUGCGUAACGCGUGGGAAUCUGCCCUUGGGUUCGGAAUAACAGUUAGAAAUGACUGCUAAUACCGGAUGAUGUCUUCGGACCAAAGAUUUAUCGCCCAAGGAUGAGCCCGCGUAGGAUUAGGUAGUUGGUGGAGUAAUGGCCCACCAAGCCGACGAUCCUUAGCUGGUCUGAGAGGAUGAUCAGCCACACUGGGACUGAGACACGGCCAGACUCCUACGGGAGGCAGCA
Molecule: ribosomal RNA, 296 nt
Filed under: uncultured bacterium
Lineage: Bacteria
Description: partial 16S ribosomal RNA
Rfam family: Bacterial small subunit ribosomal RNA
Source: RNAcentral